UGACGAGUCCCAAAUAGGACGAAACGCUCGUC
Molecule: non-coding RNA, 32 nt
Organism: Schistosoma margrebowiei
Lineage: Eukaryota; Metazoa; Platyhelminthes; Trematoda; Strigeidida; Schistosomatidae
Source: Rfam